CAGUGGUUUUACCCUAUGGUAGAUCCAGCAAUAGCACACUACCACAGGGUAGAACCACGGG
This 61-nucleotide microRNA precursor is filed under the name Eptatretus burgeri (inshore hagfish). Its description in RNAcentral is "Ebu-Mir-140-P4-v2_pre stem-loop". The record is from RNAcentral. Lineage: Eukaryota; Metazoa; Chordata; Myxini; Myxiniformes; Myxinidae.